This 102-nucleotide small RNA is filed under the name Marmota monax (woodchuck). Lineage: Eukaryota; Metazoa; Chordata; Mammalia; Rodentia; Sciuridae. The record is from RNAcentral.
GCUGGGUAUGUUGGCAUGCACCUAUAAUCCCAGCAACUGGGGAGGCUGAGGCAGGAGGAUCUCAAGUUCGAGACUAGGCAACUUAGUGAGUCCCUGUCUCAA